UACAGAGACCUCAAGCGUUAUCCGGAAUCAUUGGGCGUAAAGCGUACCGAUAGGUGGUUUUACAAGUCAGAGGUGAAAUCCCAAGGCUCAACUUUGGGACUGUCCUUUGAAACUGUACAACUAGAGGGGCAAAGAGGAAGCUGGAACGAACGGUGUAGUAGUGAAAUGCGUUGAUAUCGUUCGGAACACCAAUAGCGUAGGCAGGCUUCUGGGUGCCACUGACACUGCUAGGACGAAAGCGU
This 242-nucleotide ribosomal RNA is filed under the name uncultured bacterium. Its description in RNAcentral is "partial 16S ribosomal RNA". It matches the Rfam family "Bacterial small subunit ribosomal RNA", at positions 524 to 762 of the family's 1533-position model. The record is from RNAcentral.